This 496-nucleotide ribosomal RNA is filed under the name uncultured bacterium. RNAcentral's name for it is "partial 16S ribosomal RNA". It matches the Rfam family "Bacterial small subunit ribosomal RNA", at positions 28 to 507 of the family's 1533-position model. The record is from RNAcentral.
GAUGAACGCUGGCGGCGUGCCUAAUACAUGCAAGUCGAGCGAACAGACGAGGAGCUUGCUCCUCUGACGUUAGCGGCGGACGGGUGAGUAACACGUGGAUAACCUACCUAUAAGACUGGGAUAACUUCAGGAAACCGGAGCUAAUACCGGAUAAUAUAUUGAACCGCAUGGUUCAAUAGUGAAAGACGGUUUUGCUGUCACUUAUAGAUGGAUCCGCGCCGCAUUAGCUAGUUGGUAAGGUAACGGCUUACCAAGGCAACGAUGCGUAGCCGACCUGAGAGGGUGACCGGCACACUGGAACUGAGACACGGUCCAGACUCCUACGGGAGGCAGCAGUAGGGAAUCUUCCGCAAUGGGCGAAAGCCUGACGGAGCAACGCCGCGUGAGUGAUGAAGGUCUUCGGAUCGUAAAACUCUGUUAUUAGGGAAGAACAAAUGUGUAAGUAACUAUGCACGUCUUGACGGUACCUAAUCAGAAAGCCACGGCUAACUACGUG